This 524-nucleotide ribosomal RNA is filed under the name uncultured bacterium. Its description in RNAcentral is "partial 16S ribosomal RNA". It matches the Rfam family "Bacterial small subunit ribosomal RNA", at positions 28 to 523 of the family's 1533-position model. The record is from RNAcentral.
GACGAACGCUGGCGGCGUGCCUAAUACAUGCAAGUCGAGCGCAGGAAAUCAUCCGAACCCUUCGGGGGGACGUUGAUGGAAUGAGCGGCGGACGGGUGAGUAACACGUAAAGAACCUGCCCUCAGGUCUGGGAUAACCACGAGAAAUCGGGGCUAAUACCGGAUGGGUCAUCGGACCGCGUGGUCCGAGGAUGAAAGGCGCUUCGGCGUCGCCUGGGGAUGGCUUUGCGGUGCAUUAGCUAGUUGGUGGGGUAAUGGCCCACCAAGGCGACGAUGCAUAGCCGACCUGAGAGGGUGAUCGGCCACACUGGGACUGAGACACGGCCCAGACUCCUACGGGAGGCAGCAGUAGGGAAUCUUCCACAAUGGACGAAAGUCUGAUGGAGCAACGCCGCGUGAACGAUGAAGGCCUUCGGGUCGUAAAGUUCUGUUGUAAGGGAAGAACAAGUGCCGCAGGCAAUGGCGGCACCUUGACGGUACCUUGCGAGAAAGCCACGGCUAACUACGUGCCAGCAGCCGCCGUAA